AACGAACGCUGGCGGCAUGCCUAAUACAUGCAAGUCGAACGAGACCUUCGGGUCUAGUGGCGCACGGGUGCGUAACGCGUGGGAAUCUGCCCUUGGGUUCGGAAUAACAGUUAGAAAUGACUGCUAAUACCGGAUAAUGUCUUCGGACCAAAGAUUUAUCGCCCAGGGAUGAGCCCCGCGUAGGAUUAGCUAGUUGGUGAGGUAAAGGCUCACCAAGGCGACGAUCCUUAGCUGGUCUGAGAGGAUGAUCAGCCACACUGGGACUGAGACACGGCCCCAGACUCCUACGGGAGGCAGCAGUGGGGAAUAUUGGACAAUGGGCGAAAGCCUGAUCCAGCAAUACCGCGUGUGUGAAGAAGGCCUCGGUUGUAAGCACUUAAGUUAGGGUAAGGAAAAAGGAACGUUACUA
RNAcentral lists this ribosomal RNA (409 nucleotides) under uncultured bacterium. RNAcentral's name for it is "bacterial SSU rRNA". It matches the Rfam family "Bacterial small subunit ribosomal RNA", at positions 29 to 464 of the family's 1533-position model. The record is from RNAcentral.